Triticum aestivum (bread wheat) is the source of this 129-nucleotide non-coding RNA. The record is from Rfam. Lineage: Eukaryota; Viridiplantae; Streptophyta; Magnoliopsida; Poales; Poaceae.
GAUAUACCCCUCUCCAUCCGUAAUUACUUGUGACAUAAAUAUGGAUGUAUCUAGACGUAUUUUUGGUUCUAGAUACAUCAAUUUCUAUCCAUUUCUGGGACAAGUAAUUCGGGACGGAGGGAGCACAUU